AGUACAUAAACGCCUACGUCAGAAUCUGGAGUCAGCUGGAGUGUGCCAGCAGGCCAUCUGGAGUGAAAAUGAAGUCUGCCCAGAGCUGCUGGAAGCCCCAGCUGCCCUGCUGCCCAUGGAGUCCUCUGAGGACGACUCCAGAGUCCCUCAACUCCUUGGAGGAGAUAAGCAGCCAACACAGUGUUGUUCAGCAGAUGCCACCGUCUGCCAUGUAAGUUAAAUAAGGCAGACAGCAGCAGCUAAGGAGAUUUUAGCCUCCUGUUCUAAACAGUAUUUUAGCUUAACAGCAGAAAACGUUUAACAUGUUCCCCCACUCCUAGAAAAACAAGCAAUUUAUCUUCAGGGAGAGGGAGAAAAAGCACUUUCCACCAUUCUGAUGGGUCAUCAAGUUUAAAAGCUCUCUUAUCCCUAAACCUUUAGAGAAACUAACAGAAAGUAUGUUUCCCUUUCCCUGCAGCUUAUUUACCUUGCAAAUUGUUUGUCUGCCCGGAAGUGCUACAAUAAUGGCUACAUAUAUAUUUUUGUUUCCAGAUUCAUUAAUGAUGUCAGAAGUGUAAAACUAAAGGCAGAAGACUGUUGUUUUCAAGAUUGCUCCCCAACUAGGCUUGGCGACCCUUGAAGGCAGAGGACCUUUCUGAGUUAUCUUUGUACCCUGCAUAGUCCUGGCACAAAAUAGCACCUAAGUCAUUCAUUUAGCAAAUUUUUUAAAACAAUAUUCCUGUCAUGACACAUUCAGCAAUUAUUUAUUUAUUUAUUUAUUUAUAUUAUUUUUAGAAACAGGGUCUUGCUCUGUCACCCUGGCUGGAGUGCAGUGGUGCAAUCAUAGCUGCAACCUCGACCUCCCAGGCUUAAGUGAUCCUCCCACCUCAGUCUGUAGAAUAGCUGGGACUACAGGAAUACACCACCACAACCCAGCUCAUUAAAAAAAAAAUUCUGUAGAGACAAGGGUGUCUUGCUAUGUUUCCCAGGCUGGUCUCAAACUCCUAGCCUCAAGCAGUCUUCUCAUGCUGGCCCCCCAAAUCACUAGAAGUACAGGCAUGAGGCACCAUGCUUGGCUAUAAGCACAUUUUUAAUGAGCACUUAGUAUGUGCCACAUGCUGCAGAUGUAGCCACAAGCCUCUGACCUCACAGACCUCAUAUUAAACAAGUAAACAAAUAAGGUAAUUUUAGAUUUUUUUCAGUGCUACAAAAUAAAAACAGGGAAAUAGGAGAGAGAGUAGAGAACAGGACUUUGAGAAGAAAGUCUGGAAUCC
Molecule: long non-coding RNA, 1253 nt
Filed under: Homo sapiens (human)
Lineage: Eukaryota; Metazoa; Chordata; Mammalia; Primates; Hominidae
Description: non-protein coding lnc-MRPL3-2:10
Source: RNAcentral